AACGAACGCUGGCGGCAUGCCUAACACAUGCAAGUCGAACGAGACCUUCGGGUCUAGUGGCGCACGGGGGCGUAACGCGUGGGAACCUGCACUUAGGUUCGGAAUAACUCCCCGAAAGGGGUGCUAAUACCGGAUAGUGUCUUCGGACCAAAGAUUUAUCGCCUUUGGAUGGGCCCGCGUUGGAUUCGCUAGUUGGUAGGGUAAAAGCCUACCAAGGCGACGAUCCAUAGCUGGUCUGAGAGGAUGAUCAGCCACACUGGGACUGAGACACGGCCCAGACUCCUACGGGAGGCAGCAGUGGGGAAUAUUGGACAAUGAGCGAAAGCCUGAUCCAGCAAUGCCGCGUGAGUGAUGAAGGCCUUAGGGUUGUAAAGCUCUUUUACCCGGGAUGAUAAUGACAGUACCGGGAGAAUAAGCUCCGGCUAACUCCGUG
Molecule: ribosomal RNA, 433 nt
Filed under: uncultured bacterium
Lineage: Bacteria
Description: partial 16S ribosomal RNA
Rfam family: Bacterial small subunit ribosomal RNA
Source: RNAcentral